UACGUAGGGUGCGAGCGUUGUCCGGAAUUAUUGGGCGUAAAGAGCUCGUAGGCGGUUUGUCGCGUCUGCCGUGAAAGUCCGGGGCUCAACUCCGGAUCUGCGGUGGGUACGGGCAGACUAGAGUGAUGUAGGGGAGACUGGAAUUCCUGGUGUAGCGGUGAGAUGCGCAGAUAUCAGGAGGAACACCGAUGGCGAAGGCAGGUCUCUGGGCAUUAACUGACGCUGAGGAGCGAAAGCAUGGGGAGCGAACAGG
RNAcentral lists this ribosomal RNA (253 nucleotides) under uncultured bacterium. RNAcentral describes it as "partial 16S ribosomal RNA". It matches the Rfam family "Bacterial small subunit ribosomal RNA", at positions 524 to 776 of the family's 1533-position model. The record is from RNAcentral.